GACGAACGCUGGCGGCGUGCUUAACACAUGCAAGUCGAACGCUGAAGCUCAGCUUGCUGGGUGGAUGAGUGGCGAACGGGUGAGUAACACGUGAGUAACCUGCCCUCUUCUUUGGGAUAACGCCCGGAAACGGGUGCUAAUACUGGAUAUUCACUGAUUCUCGCAUGGGGGUUGGUGGAAAGGUUUUUUCUGGUGGGGGAUGGGCUCGCGGCCUAUCAGCUUGUUGGUGGGGUGAUGGCCUACCAAGGCUUUGACGGGUAGCCGGCCUGAGAGGGUGACCGGUCACACUGGGACUGAGAUACGGCCCAGACUCCUACGGGAGGCAGCAGUGGGGAAUAUUGCACAAUGGGCGAAAGCCUGAUGCAGCGACGCCGCGUGAGGGAUGGAGGCCUUCGGGUUGUAAACCUCUUUCGCUCAUGGUCAAGCCGCAGCUUUGGGUUGUGGUGAGGGUAGUGGGUAAAGAAGCGCCGGCUAACUACGUG
RNAcentral lists this ribosomal RNA (482 nucleotides) under uncultured bacterium. RNAcentral's name for it is "partial 16S ribosomal RNA". It matches the Rfam family "Bacterial small subunit ribosomal RNA", at positions 28 to 507 of the family's 1533-position model. The record is from RNAcentral.